ACUCAAAUGAAUUGACGGGGGCCCGCACAAGCAGCGGAGCGUGUGGUUUAAUUCGAGGCUACACGAAGAACCUUACCUGGACUGGACAGGCGCACGAACGAGGCUGAAAGGCCGAGGGCCGCAAGGCGUGCGCUCAGGUGCUGCAUGGCUGUCGUCAGCUCGUGCCGUGAGGUGUUAGGUUAAGUCCUGUAACGAGCGCAACCCCCAGGUCCAGUUACACGUUGUCUGGACCGACUGCCCGUGACAAGCGGGAGGAAGGUGGGGAUGACGUCAAGUCAGCAUGGCCUUUAUGUCCAGGGCUACACACACGCUACAAUGGCCGGUACAAUGGGUCGCCAAGCCGCAAGGCGGAGCCAAUCCAACAAAGCCGGUCUCAGUUCGGAUUGGGGGCUGCAACCCGCCCCCAUGAAGUCGGAGUUGCUAGUAACUGCCGGUCAGCCAUACGGCGGUGAAUACGUUCCCGGGCCUUGCACACACCGCCCGU
RNAcentral lists this ribosomal RNA (484 nucleotides) under uncultured bacterium. Its description in RNAcentral is "partial 16S ribosomal RNA". It matches the Rfam family "Bacterial small subunit ribosomal RNA", at positions 899 to 1397 of the family's 1533-position model. The record is from RNAcentral.